RNAcentral lists this ribosomal RNA (460 nucleotides) under uncultured bacterium. RNAcentral describes it as "partial 16S ribosomal RNA". It matches the Rfam family "Bacterial small subunit ribosomal RNA", at positions 338 to 795 of the family's 1533-position model. The record is from RNAcentral.
CCUACGGGAGGCAGCAGUGAGGAAUAUUGGUCAAUGGGCUGACGCCUGAACCAGCCAAGCCGCGUGAGGGAAGACUGCCCUAUGGGUUGUAAACCUCUUUUGUCAGGGAGCAACGCCGGCUACGUGUAGCCGGACUGAGAGUACAUGAAGAAAAAGCAUCGGCGAACUCCGUGCCAGCAGCCGCGGUAAUACGGAGGAUGCGCGCGGUAUCCGGUUUUAGUGGGUUUAAAGGGUGUGUAGGCGGAAUGCCAAGUCAGCUGUAAAAUCGCGGGGCACAACCUCGCUCCGCCGUUGAUACUGGCGUUCUUGAGUGGGCAAGAGGUGUGCGGAAUGCGUGGUGUAGCGGUGAAAUGCAUAGAUAUCACGCAGAACUCCGAUUGCGAAGGCAGCAUACCGGCGCCCAACUGACGCUGAGGCACGAAAGCGUGGGUAUCGAACAGGAUUAGAUACCCGAGUAGUC